Molecule: ribosomal RNA, 499 nt
Filed under: uncultured bacterium
Lineage: Bacteria
Description: partial 16S ribosomal RNA
Rfam family: Bacterial small subunit ribosomal RNA
Source: RNAcentral
ACUCAAAUGAAUUGACGGGGGCCCGCACAAGCGGUGGAUUAUGUGGUUUAAUUCGAAGCAACGCGAAGAACCUUACCUGGGUUUGACAUCCUCGGACAACUGUAGAGAUACAGUCUUUGUAGCAAUACAACCGAGAGACAGGUGCUGCAUGGCUGUCGUCAGCUCGUGUGGUGACAUGUUGGGUUAAGUCCCGCAACGAGCGCAACCCUUGUCUUUAGUUGCCAGCAUUCAGUUGGGCACUCUAAAGAGACUGCCGUGGUUAACACGGAGGAAGGUGGGGAUGACGUCAAGUCCUCAUGGCCUUUAUAUCCAGGGCGACACACGUAAUACAAUGGACGGUACAGAGGGAAGCAAAAUGGUGACAUGGAGCUAAUCUCAAAAAGCCGUUCUCAGUUCGGAUUGGAGUCUGCAACUCGACUCCAUGAAGUUGGAAUCGCUAGUAAUCGCGGAUCAGCACGCCGCGGUGAAUACGUUCCCGGGCCUUGUACACACCGCCCGU